UCGCAUCCAUAUGUUCCACGUCAUUUCUCUUUGAUGCGCACUGCUCAAUUUUUUAUCUUUUGUUAAGCGCUUCUCAUGUGUUUGUUGUUUUGCCUAAGAGAAUCUUCCUUUUUUUUGUUUAAGCCCUUAUGUUUUCCAAUGACUAUUUAAUCUAUUCUGGUUAAAGUGUUUUUGUAUUAAUUCAUUCUCUUUUCAAGAAUAUGAGAUCAGUUCCUUUUCUCCUCUCUGUUUUGCUUUACACCAUGAGCACUUUGUGCAGUCUCUCUCGUCUUUCUAAUCUCAAGAACAUGAUGCACGUAGAUGAGGUAUGAUAUGGUAUCAGAGUUCUUCUAUUGAAGGCUCUGUUGUGUCAACUCUAAUCUCUUGCUUUUUCUUUUUCUUUCUUGUUAUUCUUUUUCCCUUUCUUGUUGUUCUUUCUUUUUCCUUCUGUGUGUUUUCUUUGCUACCAUGGCAGGAAUACAGGACCAACAAUCUGUUCAGAGUUUUCUCUACCACCAUCCAAAUGAGAAUCCAGCCAUUGCUCUGGUUUCACCAGUCUUGGAUACUAUUAACUAUCAUUCAUGAGUCGUUCAAUGGUUACACCUUAAUCGCUAAGAACAAGAUGCAAUAGUAUGGUUGAUAUAGAACGAGCUUGAUAAUUUUAGGCCUGAACCAGUUUGCACCUGCAAAGCAUGGGUAUCCACCGGGACAUCCUCUUCAUCGAACCAAGCAGCUUCAUGUUCAUAAUGUUCCUGCACAAUAUGAUUAUUCUUCUACCAAAAAUCUGCAUGACAAUGACAACAUUCGCCUGACUCCACAACAAUAUCAAAUUCUUGUUGAGCUUUUCAAGAAUUCUACUUCUAGUUCAACUGUCCAAAUCAACCAAAUUGGUUAUGCCUCUUCCAACAAUUCCAUAACUGGAACUGAUAAUGGCCCUGAGUUUCUCAUGUGUUUACACCCAUUCCACCGCUACCAGUGAUAAUGAUGUCAAUAUUCCUCACACCAACAACAUUGAUACUGCCCUUACUGAGGAGAUCUAUGCUACACAACCAAGGCGGUCUCUCAGAACCAAAAAGACCAUCCUCUUCAUCGAACCAAGAAGCCUCGUGUUCAUAAUGUUUAUGCACAAGAUGAUCAUUCUUCUACCAAAGAUCUGCAUGAAAACGACAGCAUUGCCUGACUCCGCAACAAUAUCAAAUUCUUGCUUAGCUUUUCAAGAAUUAUACUUCUAAUUCAACUGUCCAAAUCAACCAAAUUGGUUCUUCCUCUUCCAACAAUUCCAUAACUGUGUUAUACAGGACAUGAGAACCAACGAGAAGAUUGGUUUAGUUAGGAUGCAAGCUGGCUUGUACAUGUUUAAUUCCAGUGAUUUUCUUGACAAUACUAAACAUUCUGUGUGUA
RNA transcript from Vigna angularis (adzuki bean), 1380 nucleotides. RefSeq lists it as uncharacterized. The record is from RefSeq and is a predicted model, not a curated record. The transcript has 6 exons. NCBI's taxonomy places the organism in Eukaryota, Viridiplantae, Streptophyta, Magnoliopsida, Fabales, Fabaceae.